This 492-nucleotide ribosomal RNA is filed under the name uncultured bacterium. RNAcentral describes it as "partial 16S ribosomal RNA". It matches the Rfam family "Bacterial small subunit ribosomal RNA", at positions 28 to 507 of the family's 1533-position model. The record is from RNAcentral.
GGUGAACGCUGGCGGUAGGCCUAACACAUGCAAGUCGAACGGCAGCACAGUAAGAGCUUGCUCUUACGGGUGGCGAGUGGCGGACGGGUGAGGAAUACAUCGGAAUCUACUUUUUCGUGGGGGAUAACGUAGGGAAACUUACGCUAAUACCGCAUACGACCUACGGGUGAAAGCAGGGGAUCUUCGGACCUUGCGCGAUUGAAUGAGCCGAUGUCGGAUUAGCUAGUUGGCGGGGUAAAGGCCCACCAAGGCGACGAUCCGUAGCUGGUCUGAGAGGAUGAUCAGACACACUGGAACUGAGACACGGUCCAGACUCCUACGGGAGGCAGCAGUGGGGAAUAUUGGACAAUGGGCGCAAGCCUGAUCCAGCCAUACCGCGUGGGUGAAGAAGGCCUUCGGGUUGUAAAGCCCUUUUGUUGGGAAAGAAAAGCAGCAGGUUAAUACCCCGCUGUUCUGACGGUACCCAAAGAAUAAGCACCGGCUAACUUCGUG